GACGAACGCUGGCGGCGUGCUUAACACAUGCAAGUCGAACGGAAAGGCCCUGCUUUUGUGGGGUGCUCGAGUGGCGAACGGGUGAGUAACACGUGAGUAACCUGCCCUUGACUUUGGGAUAACUUCAGGAAACUGGGGCUAAUACCGGAUAGGAGCUCCUGCUGCAUGGUGGGGGUUGGAAAGUUUCGGCGGUUGGGGAUGGACUCGCGGCUUAUCAGCUUGUUGGUGGGGUAGUGGCUUACCAAGGCUUUGACGGGUAGCCGGCCUGAGAGGGUGACCGGCCACAUUGGGACUGAGAUACGGCCCAGACUCCUACGGGAGGCAGCGGUGGGGAAUAUUGCACAAUGGGCGGAGGCCUGAUGCAGCAACGCCGCGUGCGGGAUGACGGCCUUCGGGUUGUAAACCGCUUUCGCCUGUGACGAGGCGUGAGUGACGGUAAUGGGUAAAGAAGCACCGGCUAACUACGUG
This 468-nucleotide ribosomal RNA is filed under the name uncultured bacterium. Its description in RNAcentral is "partial 16S ribosomal RNA". It matches the Rfam family "Bacterial small subunit ribosomal RNA", at positions 28 to 507 of the family's 1533-position model. The record is from RNAcentral.